UACAGAGGUCUCAAGCGUUGUUCGGAAUCACUGGGCGUAAAGGGUGCGUAGGCCGCACGGUAAGUCAGGUGUGAAAGCCCGGAGCUCAACUUCGGAAUUGCACCCGAUACUGCCGUGCUUGAGGACUGGAGAGGAGUCUGGAAUUCACAGUGGAGCAGUGAAAUGCGUAGAUAUUGUGAGGAACACUAGUGGCGAAGGCGAGACUCUGGACAGUUCCUGACGCUGAGGCACGAAGGCCAGGGGAGCAAACGGG
This 253-nucleotide ribosomal RNA is filed under the name uncultured bacterium. Its description in RNAcentral is "partial 16S ribosomal RNA". It matches the Rfam family "Bacterial small subunit ribosomal RNA", at positions 524 to 776 of the family's 1533-position model. The record is from RNAcentral.